This 253-nucleotide ribosomal RNA is filed under the name uncultured bacterium. RNAcentral's name for it is "partial 16S ribosomal RNA". It matches the Rfam family "Bacterial small subunit ribosomal RNA", at positions 524 to 776 of the family's 1533-position model. The record is from RNAcentral.
UACGUAGGGCGCAAGCGUUGUCCGGAAUUAUUGGGCGUAAAGAGCUCGUAGGCGGUUUGUCGCGUCUGCUGUGAAAACCUAAGGCUCAACCUUGGGCUUGCAGUGGGUACGGGCAGACUAGAGUGCGGUAGGGGUAACUGGAAUUCCUGGUGUAGCGGUGGAAUGCGCAGAUAUCAGGAGGAACACCGAUGGCGAAGGCAGGUCACUGGGCCGCAACUGACGCUGAGGAGCGAAAGCAUGGGGAGCGAACAGG